UACGAAGGGGGCUAGCGUUGCUCGGAAUUACUGGGCGUAAAGCGCACGUAGGCGGUCUUUUAAGUCGGGGGUGAAAUCCUGGAGCUCAACUCCAGAACUGCCUUCGAUACUGGAAGACUUGAGUCCGGGAGAGGUGAGUGGAACUGCGAGUGUAGAGGUGAAAUUCGUAGAUAUUCGCAAGAACACCAGUGGCGAAGGCGGCUCACUGGCCCGGUACUGACGCUGAGGUGCGAAAGCGCGGGGAGCAAACAGG
Molecule: ribosomal RNA, 253 nt
Filed under: uncultured bacterium
Lineage: Bacteria
Description: partial 16S ribosomal RNA
Rfam family: Bacterial small subunit ribosomal RNA
Source: RNAcentral